CCUACGGGGGGCAGCAGUGAGGAAUAUUGGUCAAUGGGCGGUAGCCUGAACCAGCCAAGUAGCGUGAAGGAUGAAGGUUCUAUGGAUUGUAAACUUCUUUUCUAAAGGAAUAAAGUGAGGCACGUGUGCCUUUUUGUAUGUACUUUAUGAAUAAGGAUCGGCUAACUCCGUGCCAGCAGCCGCGGUAAUACGUAGGGGGCGAGCGUUGUCCGGAAUCACUGGGCGUAAAGGGCGCGUAGGCGGUUUAAUAAGUCAGUGGUGAAAACUGAGGGCUCAACCCUCAGCCUGCCACUGAUACUGUUAGA
This 305-nucleotide ribosomal RNA is filed under the name uncultured bacterium. Its description in RNAcentral is "bacterial SSU rRNA". It matches the Rfam family "Bacterial small subunit ribosomal RNA", at positions 338 to 640 of the family's 1533-position model. The record is from RNAcentral.